This is a non-coding RNA of Pyrenophora tritici-repentis Pt-1C-BFP, 431 nucleotides long. It matches the Rfam family "RNase MRP". Rfam says of the family: RNase MRP is an enzymatically active ribonucleoprotein with two distinct roles in eukaryotes. In mitochondria it plays a direct role in the initiation of mitochondrial DNA replication. The record is from Rfam. NCBI's taxonomy places the organism in Eukaryota, Fungi, Ascomycota, Dothideomycetes, Pleosporales, Pleosporaceae.
UCCUCGCUCAAAGAAUCGCAACGAAGCACACGCACAGAGCGCCUCUCGGGGUGUCUCUUCCCACGCUUUGGGGAAAGUCCCCGGACAACGAUCAUCGCGAUCGCACUUUCAGCAACGAACCGCCAUAGAAGCCGCGGCUUCCAACCGAUCACGACAUUUCUCGCAUCUCUUUAUCCGUCUGCACUCUUUUCGACAGCUUUCACGAGGCUGCAGGGUGGGGAUCUGGCACUUGGAUGAUGAUAUGAGUCCGCUGGUGACCCGGUCUGCGUGCUGAAGGUUCGCUGGAGAUUGGAGGAGGAGGGAGUUGUUGGGAGGUGCCAGGUAUGGAGGGUCUUCUCGUCCAGUUUAUGGUUAUGCGAUUGCCUCCUUUGCGCUUCGGUCACACGGGGUGUCUAGGAGGUAACUCAAUGGGGCUCAUUCUUGAGGCGAGG